UUUAUGUAUUCGUUUUUUUUUUUCUUCAUGAAUAUCUACAUACAUAUCGUCGUUUAAAGAACAAAACCGCGUAUCGUAAUUCUGCAAACCCGCGUAACUGAUAUUGGCUGCCAAAAAUUGUAUUUGCUCCCACAAGCUCUUUGCUCAAUCCUUAUCCAUUCGUCCUGAAAUAUACU
This is a long non-coding RNA of Rhagoletis zephyria (snowberry fruit fly), 176 nucleotides long. RefSeq lists it as uncharacterized. The record is from RefSeq and is a predicted model, not a curated record. NCBI's taxonomy places the organism in Eukaryota, Metazoa, Arthropoda, Insecta, Diptera, Tephritidae.